GGGAGUGAUAUAAAUAGAAAGGAAUGUAAGCUCUUUUUAUAUGCAAUAACAGCAGCAAGAAUAUUAUUGGCCCAAAAAUGGAAGCAAGAUGAAUUACCAACGAUUGAAGAAUGGAGGAUGAAGUUAAUGGACUAUGCAGAACUAGAUAAACUAACAGGAAGGAUUCGAAACCGGCGGGACCAUAAAUUCACGGAAGACUGGAGUAAAUUUACGGACUAUCUGAAAAGUAUUUGUGAAGAUCAGAUGACGUUUGUAGAUUUGCAAGAAGUUUUGUGGGGAGUAUGAUUGGAAGUAUUGCAAAAAUGGAGAAGGGGAAGGAUGAUUUGUUAAGAGAUGUAAAGGCAAUAUAAAGUUAAGAAGUGGUUAAAAUGGUGGCUCAUCAGAGGUGCUGAUGAAAGUCCAAAAAGAUUGUAUAAGUGAUAAGUUUUGUGGUACAUUUUAUAAUUUAUAUGUUAAAAUCAAUAAAAAUUAUUUUUUUUAAAAAAAGAAUUGUACGGCCUGGUUCUAGCGGCUCGGUGACCAAGAGGGAAAACCACUCUGCGUGUGCUCCGGAGACAACCGCUCUUUAUUUUUAAGCAGAAUUCGGGUGGCAUUGUAAAUCAUCAAAUCGCAGAAUUCUAGAGUCGGAAGGGACACCUGAGGGUCAUCCAGACCAACCCGCUCCAAUGCAGGAAUAUUUUGCCAUGAGCAAGAACUCCCCACAUUGGAAGAUUGGCAAGUAAAGAUGGUUGAAUAUGUGGAUUCGGAAUCGCCGUGAUGAACUGUUUCCAAAGGACCGGGGGAAAAUUAUACUUUAUAGGAAAGAAAAUUGUAAACAUUUGAAAACGUGUGUCUGAGUCGAAAUGUUUGGUAAUGGGAAAUUAAGUAGCUGAUUUACUUAUAAGAAAGCGAUUGCUAAAAGAUUGAUGUAAGGUAAAAAAGUGAAUAUAGGAAUGUGAAGAAAUUGGUAAAGUGAUAUGGAAGUCUGUUAG
Molecule: long non-coding RNA, 971 nt
Filed under: Podarcis lilfordi (Lilford's wall lizard)
Lineage: Eukaryota; Metazoa; Chordata; Lepidosauria; Squamata; Lacertidae
Source: RNAcentral